UUGAUUUUAAUUAUUUGUGAAGGUACUACUAAUUAACAACAAUUUUAUAAUCAAAAACAAAAAAAAAAAAAAUCAAA
Molecule: unclassified non-coding RNA, 77 nt
Filed under: soil metagenome
Description: partial internal transcribed spacer 1
Source: RNAcentral